ACACUCCUACGGGAGGCAGCAGUGGGGAAUUUUGGACAAUGGGCGAAAGCCUGAUCCAGCCAUGCCGCGUGCAGGAUGAAGGCCUUCGGGUUGUAAACUGCUUUUGUACGGAACGAAACGGCCUUUUCUAAUAAAGAGGGCUAAUGACGGUACCGUAAGAAUAAGCACCGGCUAACUACGUGCCAGCAGCCGCGGUAAUACGUAGGGUGCAAGCGUUAAUCGGAAUUACUGGGCGUAAAGCGUGCGCAGGCGGUUAUGUAAGACAGUUGUGAAAUCCCCGGGCUCAACCUGGGAACUGCAUCUGUGACUGCAUAGCUAGAGUACGGUAGAGGGGGAUGGAAUUCCGCGUGUAGCAGUGAAAUGCGUAGAUAUGCGGAGGAACACCGAUGGCGAAGGCAAUCCCCUGGACCUGUACUGACGCUCAUGCACGAAAGCGUGGGGAGCAAACAGGAUUAGAAACCCGGGUAGUCCCAUGAU
This 477-nucleotide ribosomal RNA is filed under the name uncultured organism. Its description in RNAcentral is "partial 16S ribosomal RNA". It matches the Rfam family "Bacterial small subunit ribosomal RNA", at positions 333 to 801 of the family's 1533-position model. The record is from RNAcentral.